ACGAACGCUGGCGGCAUGCCUAACACAUGCAAGUCGAACGAGACCUUCGGGUCUAGUGGCGCACGGGUGCGUAACGCGUGGGAACCUGCCCUUAGGUUCGGAAUAACUCCCCGAAAGGGGUGCUAAUACCGGAUAAUGUCUUCGGACCAAAGAUUUAUCGCCUUUGGAUGGGCCCGCGUUGGAUUAGCUAGUUGGUAGGGUAAAAGCCUACCAAGGCGACGAUCCAUAGCUGGUCUGAGAGGAUGAUCAGCCACACUGGGACUGAGACACGGCCCAGACUCCUACGGGAGGCAGCAGUGGGGAAUAUUGGACAAUGGGCGAAAGCCUGAUCCAGCAAUGCCGCGUGAGUGAUGAAGGCCUUAGGGUUGUAAAGCUCUUUUACCCGGGAUGAUAAUGACAGUACCGGGAGAAUAAGCGCCGGCUAACCCCGUG
This 432-nucleotide ribosomal RNA is filed under the name uncultured bacterium. Its description in RNAcentral is "partial 16S ribosomal RNA". It matches the Rfam family "Bacterial small subunit ribosomal RNA", at positions 29 to 507 of the family's 1533-position model. The record is from RNAcentral.